Molecule: ribosomal RNA, 289 nt
Filed under: uncultured Neisseriaceae bacterium
Lineage: Bacteria; Pseudomonadati; Pseudomonadota; Betaproteobacteria; Neisseriales; Neisseriaceae
Description: partial 16S ribosomal RNA
Source: RNAcentral
CUACUAGGGUUUCUAAUCCUGUUUGCUACCCACGCUUUCGAGCAUGAACGUCAGUGUUAUCCCAGGGGGCUGCCUUCGCCAUCGGUAUUCCUCCACAUCUCUACGCAUUUCACUGCUACACGUGGAAUUCUACCCCCCUCUGACACACUCUAGCCUGCCAGUUCAGAACGCAGUUCCCAGGUUGAGCCCGGGGAUUUCACAUCCUGCUUAACAAACCGUCUGCGCUCGCUUUACGCCCAGUAAUUCCGAUUAACGCUCGCACCCUACGUAUUACCGCGGCUGCUGGCAC